This 393-nucleotide RNase P RNA is filed under the name Hyphomicrobiaceae bacterium. RNAcentral's name for it is "RNase P RNA component class A". It matches the Rfam family "Bacterial RNase P class A". Rfam says of the family: Ribonuclease P (RNase P) is a ubiquitous endoribonuclease, found in archaea, bacteria and eukarya as well as chloroplasts and mitochondria. Its best characterised activity is the generation of mature 5'-ends of tRNAs by cleaving the 5'-leader elements of precursor-tRNAs. Lineage: Bacteria; Pseudomonadati; Pseudomonadota; Alphaproteobacteria; Hyphomicrobiales; Hyphomicrobiaceae. The record is from RNAcentral.
CCAGUCGGUCGGAUGGUCGCGCGCUCAAGGCUCGAAAGGGCGAGCGGGAGGAAAGUCCGGGCUCCACGGAGAAACGGUGCCGGGUAACGCCCGGCGGGGGCGACCCCAGGGAAAGUGCCACAGAAAACAGACCACCCCGGAUGCGUCCGGGGCCAGGGUGAAAAGGUGGGGUAAGAGCCCACCGCGGGACCGGCAACGGGACCGGCACGGAAAACCCCACCGGGAGCAAGACCGAAUAGGGACGGCGUGACGGGGCAACCCGUCAGCUCAUUCUCCGAGCGAGCUGUCCGGGUAGGUCGCGCGAGGUGUCCGGCGACGGGCAUCCCAGAUGAAUGACCAUCACGCGGGCGCAAGUCCGCCCUACAGAACCCGGCUUACAGACCGACUGGCGUC